This 253-nucleotide ribosomal RNA is filed under the name uncultured bacterium. RNAcentral describes it as "partial 16S ribosomal RNA". It matches the Rfam family "Bacterial small subunit ribosomal RNA", at positions 524 to 776 of the family's 1533-position model. The record is from RNAcentral.
UACAGAGGUCUCAACCGUUGUUCGGAUUCAUUGGGCGUAAAGGGUGCGUAGGCGGUCGCGUAAGUCAGGUGUGAAAUCCCGGGGCUCAACCCCGGAACUGCAUUUGAUACUGCGUGGCUCGGGUACUGGAGAGGAGACUGGAAUUUACGGUGUAGCAGUGAAAUGCGUAGAUAUCGUAAGGAAGACCAGUGGCGAAGGCGGCAUCCUGGACCAUUACUGACGCUGAGGCGCGAAAGCUAGGGGAGCAAACGGG